Molecule: ribosomal RNA, 494 nt
Filed under: uncultured bacterium
Lineage: Bacteria
Description: partial 16S ribosomal RNA
Rfam family: Bacterial small subunit ribosomal RNA
Source: RNAcentral
AUUGAACGCUGGCGGCAUGCCUUACACAUGCAAGUCGAACGGUAACAGGUUAAGCUGACGAGUGGCGAACGGGUGAGUAAUAUAUCGGAACGUGCCCAGUCGUGAGGGGAUAACGUAGCGAAAGCUACGCUGAUACCGCAUACGAUCUACGGAUGAAAGCGGGGGAUCGCAAGACCUCGCGCGAUUGGAGCGGCCGAUAUCCGAUUAGGUUGUUGGUGAGGUAAAAGCUCACCAAGCCUGCGAUCUGUAGCUGGUCUGAGAGGACGACCAGCCACACGGGAACUGAGACACGGGCCAGACUCCUACGGGAGGCAGCAGUGGGGAAUUUUGGACAAUGGACGCAAGUCUGAUCCAGCAAUGCCGCGUGCAGGACGAAGGCCUUCGGGUUGUAAACUGCUUUUGUACGGAACGAAACGGUGAGCUCUAAUACGGUUUGCUAAUGACGGUACCGUAAGAAUAAGCACCGGCUAACUACGUGCCAGCCGCCGCCGUAA